GGUGGCGGCCGGCGCACGGGUGCGUAACGCGUAUGUAACCUACCUAUAACAGGGGCAUAACACUGAGAAAUUGGUACUAAUUCCCCAUAAUAUUCGGAGAGGCAUCUCUCCGGGUUGAAAACUCCGGUGGUUAUAGAUGGACAUGCGUUGUAUUAGCUAGUUGGUGAGGUAACGGCUCACCAAGGCAACGAUACAUAGGGGGACUGAGAGGUUAACCCCCCACACUGGUACUGAGACACGGACCAGACUCCUACGGGAGGCAGCAUG
RNAcentral lists this ribosomal RNA (267 nucleotides) under uncultured bacterium. RNAcentral describes it as "partial 16S ribosomal RNA". It matches the Rfam family "Bacterial small subunit ribosomal RNA", at positions 87 to 353 of the family's 1533-position model. The record is from RNAcentral.